UUAUUUAGAGUAGCAAAUAAAUGUACCAGCAGGCGGCAAUACAGCAACGAGCUUUAACUCAUUUUCUUUUUGAUCCCUAGGAUUAAUAGUUUUAUAAAAUUUACAGAAAACUUGGUCCAGAAUAAUCGGUCCCAGUUUUUUAUUUUUUUCAAAGAAGGGUAAGAUUGAUUUUUUGGAAUUCAAAGGUUGAUCUGAGACAUUUGGUGAAGGUUUUUUAUAAUAGACUUAGGAUAUAAAAUUGAAAAAAAUGACCCGGUUUUGUAUCCGGUUAGUCAAAUUUUAAUGUUAGGCUGGAGUAAAGUUGAAUUUAAAAAGAAUUUAUUUGUCAGGGAUUCAUCCGGUGUUUGGAGGUUGGCGGUUAAAUGGAGAAACCCCUGCUUAGCUAGAUCUUUAGCUGCCUGAAUGAUUGCUUGAUUUACUCUUUUACUUAAUUUAGAUAGUGACUUUUUGAUUAGUAAACUAGAAUAAGUGUAAUCUGUGGUAAAUAUAAUGAUCUGUCUUGCUGACCUACAUUUUUUUAGCUAGCUAAAAUUUGGAUAGAUUUUUAUUAAAAUUGGAAAACAUAGUAUGGUGUCCUUAAUGUUAAAUUGGAUAUUGCGCUGAGUCCGGUACCAAUCGUCCAUCGCUACCCUAACGGGGUUUAAGUUGUAGCAAAGUGGGUUUAGGAGAACCUAAACCUAAAAGAA
RNAcentral lists this non-coding RNA (686 nucleotides) under Pratylenchus vulnus (walnut meadow nematode). The record is from RNAcentral. Lineage: Eukaryota; Metazoa; Nematoda; Chromadorea; Rhabditida; Pratylenchidae.